GAAUUUGUCUCCAGUGCAAAAGCUCUCAAUGUACAUAGAAACAACAAAGUGAUCAAUCAUUUAUCAUAAAUCCUAAGAUACAAACAAUUGAUCAAUCAUAAUAUGCCAACAGGAGAAUGUAGUAGAAAGAUGAGAGGUGAGAAAAGUGAGAAGAUGGGAAAAAAUGAGAAGAUGACAAGGAUAAUACCAAUAUAGGCUACUACAUGGAACAGAUGCCGUAGGAUUGGCACAGAUUCUUCCCUGGCAGGGAGUAGAAGGCCCAGGGAACUCAAAAAUUCUGAGGCGGAAGAGUAUGGAGAGACUAUUUGUCCAUAAACACAGCUGGAAGCUUUGGGCUGUUCAGGAUUGACUGAGAUUUUUCUGCCACCGAAUUGAGUGAUGGCCACUGUCUUCAUUAGCUUUAAGAAGACCAGAGAAGAAUUCCUAUGUGACAGUUUUCUCAAUGAUUUUAGACUGUUCAGGAACAGUCCAACAAAAGGCUAUUGCCUUGAUGUCCUACUUCUGGCUGACCUUAGCUGAUCUCAAAAGGCUACACAGACUCAGACCUUCUUAAUACUUGGACAGGAUGCAGACAAAUCUCAGGGAUGUAGGCUAGACUGAGAAGUUGAAAAAACAAGCUGGAAGAAGGCCUUGCCAAACUACUUACAUGUUGUUGCCAAGGAAACUAUAUGCAUGUGACUCUGAAGUCACUGGAAGUAAACUGGGAUUCAGAAGAGCCCUUACCUUUUACCUGCUUGUAAGCUGUCCAAAUGCAUCAGCUGAUUAAUGCAGGAAAUGGGAUGGUAGAAUUAACGUUGGGCAGAGAAUGUUUCCUUUAUAUUUCAACCAGUAUGAUGAAAUACAAUUGCUGUAAAGUUUACAAAAAACAAGAGGAUAUUGGUGAAAUUCUCAUGGAUGGAA
Molecule: long non-coding RNA, 900 nt
Organism: Pantherophis guttatus
Lineage: Eukaryota; Metazoa; Chordata; Lepidosauria; Squamata; Colubridae
Source: RefSeq, a predicted model, not a curated record